GAUGAACGCUGGCGGCGUGCCUAAUACAUGCAAGUCGAGCGAACGGACGAGGAUCUUUCUCCUCUUACGUUGCCGGCGGGCGGGUGAGGCACACGUAGAUAACCUAUCGUUAAGGCUGACGUAACUUCACGGACCCGGAUCUAACAUCCGAUCAGAUAGUGAACCUCAUGGUUCAUUAGACAUAGCGGGUUUUGCUGUCACUUGUAGAUGUUACCUCGUUGCAGUAGCUAGUUGGUAAGGUAACGGCCUACCAAGGCAACGAUGCGUAGCCGACCUGAGAGGGUGAUCGGCCACACUGGAACUGAGACACGGUCCAGACUCCUACGGGAGGCAGCAGUAGGGAAUCUUCCGCAAUGGGCGAAAGCCUGACGGAGCAACGCCGCGUGAGUGAUGAAGGUCUUCGGAUCGUAAAACUCUGUUAUUAGGGAAGAACAACUGUGUAAGUAACUAUGCACGUCUUGACGGUACCUAAUCAGAAAGCAACGGCUAACUACGUG
This 497-nucleotide ribosomal RNA is filed under the name uncultured bacterium. RNAcentral describes it as "partial 16S ribosomal RNA". It matches the Rfam family "Bacterial small subunit ribosomal RNA", at positions 28 to 507 of the family's 1533-position model. The record is from RNAcentral.